RNAcentral lists this ribosomal RNA (223 nucleotides) under Escherichia coli. RNAcentral's name for it is "partial 23S ribosomal RNA". It matches the Rfam family "Bacterial large subunit ribosomal RNA", at positions 175 to 436 of the family's 2925-position model. The record is from RNAcentral. Lineage: Bacteria; Pseudomonadati; Pseudomonadota; Gammaproteobacteria; Enterobacterales; Enterobacteriaceae.
UGAGGCGAACCGGGGGAACUGAAACAUCUAAGUACCCCGAGGAAAAGAAAUCAACCGAGAUUCCCCCAGUAGCGGCGAGCGAACGGGGAGCAGCCCAGAGCCUGAAUCAGUGUGUGUGUUAGUGGAAGCGUCUGGAAAGGCGCGCGAUACAGGGUGACAGCCCCGUACACAAAAAUGCACAUAUUGUGAGCUCGAUGAGUAGGGCGGGACACGUGGUAUCCUG